RNAcentral lists this ribosomal RNA (208 nucleotides) under uncultured bacterium. RNAcentral describes it as "partial 16S ribosomal RNA". It matches the Rfam family "Bacterial small subunit ribosomal RNA", at positions 568 to 774 of the family's 1533-position model. The record is from RNAcentral.
CACGUAGGUGGCAUGGUAAGUCAAAGGUGAAAGCCCUCGGCUCAACCGAGGAAUUGUCUUUUGAAACUGCUUUGCUUGAGUCCGGGAGGGGGGAGCGGAAUUCCCAGUGUAGCGGUGAAAUGCGUAGAUACUGGGAGGAACACCGGUGGCGAAGGCGGCUCCCUGGACCGGUACUGACACUGAGGUGCGAAAGCGUGGGUAGCAAACA